AUUAAACGCUGGCGGCAUGCUUUACACAUGCAAGUCGAACGGUAACAGGUCUUCGGAUGCUGACGAGUGGCGAACGGGUGAGUAAUACAUCGGAACGUGCCUAGUAGUGGGGGAUAACUACUCGAAAGAGUAGCUAAUACCGCAUGAGAUCUACGGAUGAAAGCAGGGGACCUUCGGGCCUUGUGCUACUAGAGCGGCUGAUGGCAGAUUAGGUAGUUGGUGGGGUAAAGGCUUACCAAGCCUGCGAUCUGUAGCUGGUCUGAGAGGACGACCAGCCACACUGGGACUGAGACACGGCCCAGACUCCUACGGGAGGCAGCAGUGGGGAAUUUUGGACAAUGGGCGAAAGCCUGAUCCAGCAAUGCCGCGUGCAGGAUGAAGGCCCUCGGGUUGUAAACUGCUUUUGUACGGAACGAAAAGCCUGGGGCUAAUAUCCCCGGGUCAUGACGGUACCGUAAGAAUAAGCACCGGCUAACUACGUGCCAGCAGCCGCGGUAAUACGUAGGGUGCAAGCGUUAAUCGGAAUCACUGGGCGUAAAGCGUGCGCAGGCGGUUUUGUAAGACAGUGGUGAAAUCCCCGGGCUCAACCUGGGAACUGCCAUUGUGACUGCAAGGCUAGAGUGCGGCAGAGGGGGAUGGAAUUCCGCGUGUAGCAGUGAAAUGCGUAGAUAUGCGGAGGAACACCGAUGGCGAAGGCAAUCCCCUGGGCCUGCACUGACGCUCAUGCACGAAAGCGUGGGGAGCAAACAGGAUUAGAUACCCUGGUAGUCCACGCCCUAAACGAUGUCAACUGGUUGUUG
RNAcentral lists this ribosomal RNA (800 nucleotides) under uncultured beta proteobacterium. RNAcentral's name for it is "bacterial SSU rRNA". It matches the Rfam family "Bacterial small subunit ribosomal RNA", at positions 28 to 825 of the family's 1533-position model. Lineage: Bacteria; Pseudomonadati; Pseudomonadota; Betaproteobacteria. The record is from RNAcentral.